This 274-nucleotide ribosomal RNA is filed under the name uncultured bacterium. RNAcentral's name for it is "partial 16S ribosomal RNA". It matches the Rfam family "Bacterial small subunit ribosomal RNA", at positions 523 to 796 of the family's 1533-position model. The record is from RNAcentral.
AUACGGAGGGUGCAAGCGUUACUCGGAAUCACUGGGCGUAAAGCGCGCGCAGGCGGCCAUUUAAGUUGGAUGUGAAAGCCUACGGCUCAACCGUAGAACUGCAUCCAAAACUAUUUGGCUAGAGUGUGGGAGAGGAAGAUGGAAUUAGUUGUGUAGGGGUAAAAUCCGUAGAGAUAACUAGGAAUACCAAAAGCGAAGGCAAUCUUCUGGAACAUUACUGACGCUGAGGCGCGAAAGCGUGAGGAGCAAACAGGAUUAGAUACCCUAGUAGUCC